Molecule: ribosomal RNA, 492 nt
Filed under: uncultured bacterium
Lineage: Bacteria
Description: partial 16S ribosomal RNA
Rfam family: Bacterial small subunit ribosomal RNA
Source: RNAcentral
AGUGAACGCUGGCGGUAGGCCUAACACAUGCAAGUCGAACGGCAGCACAGUAAGAGCUUGCUCUUACGGGUGGCGAGUGGCGGACGGGUGAGGAAUACAUCGGAAUCUACUUUUUCGUGGGGGAUAACGUAGGGAAACUUACGCUAAUACCGCAUACGACCUACGGGUGAAAGCAGGGGAUCUUCGGACCUUGCGCGAUUGAAUGAGCCGAUGUCGGAUUAGCUAGUUGGCGGGGUAAAGGCCCACCAAGGCGACGAUCCGUAGCUGGUCUGAGAGGGUGAUCAGCCACACUGGAACUGAGACACGGUCCAGACUCCUACGGGAGGCAGCAGUGGGGAAUAUUGGACAAUAGGCGCAAGCCUGAUCCAGCCAUACCGCGUGGGUGAAGAAGGCCUUCGGGUUGUAAAGCCCUUUUGUUGGGAAAGAAAAGCAGCAGGUUAAUACCCCGCUGUUCUGACGGUACCCAAAGAAUGAGCACCGGCUAACUUCGUG